Non-coding RNA from Pelobates cultripes (western spadefoot toad), 321 nucleotides. NCBI's taxonomy places the organism in Eukaryota, Metazoa, Chordata, Amphibia, Anura, Pelobatidae. The record is from the annotation of a GenBank genome assembly.
AUUUGGUGGCACAGAUUCUCCUUUUAUUUAUUGAAUUGAUCUGGAAGAGGACACUCCAUCAACCAUAGACCACUAGAUAAGUAUUGUCUGGGAAACAUUUUAUAUCUGAUUUUUAAACUACACUAUACUAGUAACCUUUGAGAAUGGCAACAUCCAGUUUUAUUACUGAAACAUGAUCUGACUAAUUCCAUGCAGAUAGAUUCCCUUCAAUGCCUGGCUGCUUCCAGUAACCAUUAGUUUACUAUGUUACCAGUAUUCUGAGGGGUAGGAUAGAGGCUAAAAUGAUUCACACGUGUUACAAAAUUCUAAGGAUUUCCAUAA